UGUUCUGAACAGGCUUCAUAUUUUAGCCCUUUAUCUGGAGAAGCUGUGGACAGGCUGGCAAACUGACAGGCCUUUAACAUGAUGCUGAUACCAUAUUAAAAACAUUCACUAAUUGAUCCUAAUUGUCACACUAGGAAAGGAGAGAGUGAGGAAAAUGUGUUGAGUGUAAAGUUGUCAGUCGGGGAAUAACACAGGGCUGUGAAUGAGCCCCGUCACUGUGAUCAGGCUCCUCCUUCUAAUCCACCAACUUAGUGUUGAUGAAGACUAAACAGAGAGAUCACAGCCUUCUUUAUACUUGCUGGAGCUCACAGUUCCUCAACACUGCAGAUAUGACGCCUCUGUUCAUCUCAGUGUUGCUGGCUGCUGUGUGCCUUGAAUGCAGAGCACAAAAAGACAACGUGCUGCAACCAGAAGGAGACGUGACUGCUGCUGAAGGAGAGACAGUAACACUUGGCUGUCUAUAUAACAGCAGUACAACAAAUGAUUAUCUCUUCUGGUACAAACAGGAUGGAAACAACAGCCCUGAAUUCAUACUGAGCCGCGUUCAACGGGAUGAAGGGAAAACAGCAGACAAGUACAAGGAGAGAUUUUCAUCCACACUGGAUUCCACCUCUAUUCAUACUGAACAUUCAGUUCCAGCAUUUCUCCUCUGUCAACAUGGAGAAACUCGCUGCACUUUUGUUCUUUUCAGCUCUCGUAGGUAACACCUUGGAAGAUGAUAUUACUGCCAGCAGAGCUGAAGUGUUCUCAUCAGAGGGCCGUAGUGUUACUCUGUCCUGUAGCUAUUCAGUUAAAGCCGAUAAUCUCCAGUGGUAUCGACAGGAUCCUGGAUCAGCUCCU
This is a non-coding RNA of Micropterus salmoides (largemouth bass), 840 nucleotides long. NCBI's taxonomy places the organism in Eukaryota, Metazoa, Chordata, Actinopteri, Centrarchiformes, Centrarchidae. The record is from the annotation of a RefSeq genome assembly.